AGAACUCCCAGUACAGUAUUGAAAACUGUAGUAAGAGGGGACAUCCUGCCUUGUUCCUGAUGCCAGUAAGAAAGUGAUGAGUUUUUCAUUCCUAAGUAUCAUCUUCACUGUAGGGAGUCCAGAUUGGAACCUUCUGAGGAAACUCUGGCCAGAUCUAAAAUAAGUUGUGUGAUCACAAGGAGAGAGAUGCAAAACUUCAUGAACAGAGUGACAGAUACAGAGACAGACAAGGAGGAAGUGAGAUGUGGAGACAGUUCAAGAUUAUACGUAAUGGAAGCAGAAUAGUUUGGGGAAAGAUCUGGAGUUGAGAGCCUGAGUGUCUGGCUUAAACCCUUGCUCUGUAACCUGGGACAAAUACUUAUCCAAAAGAUGAAGGUAACCACACUGAUGAGGAAAAAGAAUAAAGUUUCUGAAGUGCUUAAACACACUCAGGAUUGCCUAAGUUUUAU
Heterocephalus glaber (naked mole-rat) is the source of this 449-nucleotide long non-coding RNA. Lineage: Eukaryota; Metazoa; Chordata; Mammalia; Rodentia; Bathyergidae. The record is from Ensembl.